Molecule: ribosomal RNA, 396 nt
Filed under: uncultured bacterium
Lineage: Bacteria
Description: bacterial SSU rRNA
Rfam family: Bacterial small subunit ribosomal RNA
Source: RNAcentral
GACGAACGCUGGCGGCGUGCUUAACACAUGCAAGUCGAGCGGUAAGGCCCUUUCGGGGGUACACGAGCGGCGAACGGGUGAGUAACACGUGGGUGACCUGCCCUUAGCUCUGGGAUAAGCCUGGGAAACUGGGUCUAAUACCGGAUAUGACCUCAUGACGCAUGUUGUGGGGUGGAAAGCCUUGUGCGGCUAGGGAUGGGCCCGCGGCCUAUCAGCUUGUUGGUGGGGUGAUGGCCACCAAGGCGACGACGGGUAGCCGGCCUGAGAGGGCGACCGGCCACACUGGGACUGAGACACGGCCCAGACUCCUACGGGAGGCAGCAGUGGGGAAUCUUGCGCAAUGGGCGAAAGCCUGACGCAGCGACGCCGCGUGAGGGAUGACGGCCUCGGUUGUAA